GAUGAACGCUGGCGGCGUGCCUAAUACAUGCAAGUCGAGCGAAAGGACGAGGAGCUUUUGCCUCUGCCGUUAGCGGGGGACGGGUGGGUAACGAGUAGAUAACAUUCUUCUAUGUCUUGGGUAAUAUCGGGAAGCAAGUGAUGAUAACGGAUCAUACGAUGUACCGCAUAGAUCAAGAGUGAAUGACGGUUUUGGUGUCACUUAUAGCUGGUUCCGGGUCGCAUUAGCUAGUUGGUAAGGUAACGGCCUACCAAGGCAACGAUGCGUAGCCGACCUGAGAGGGUGAUCGGCCACACUGGAACUGAGACACGGUCCAGACUCCUACGGGAGGCAGCAGUGGGGAAUCUUCCGCAAUGGGCGAAAGCCUGACGGAGCAACGCCGCGUGAGUGAAGAGGGUCUUCGGAUCGUAAAGCUCUGUUAUUAGGAAAGAACAAAUGUGUAUUUAACCAUGCACGUCUUGACGGUACCUAAUCAAAAAGCCACGGCUAACUUCGUG
RNAcentral lists this ribosomal RNA (497 nucleotides) under uncultured bacterium. RNAcentral's name for it is "partial 16S ribosomal RNA". It matches the Rfam family "Bacterial small subunit ribosomal RNA", at positions 28 to 507 of the family's 1533-position model. The record is from RNAcentral.